AUUUUCCUUAUUUAGUCAUCCACCAGAAGCCAUAAACAAGAAUCUGGAAUGUGGAUGAACUGCAAAACCAUUAAUGUUUUUUUUUUCUUAGAAACUUUCCAGAAAUAUUAAUUGAAAGGUUCAAUGUCCAGGACCAAAUAUUAGGGAAGAAUUUAGAUUACUUAUCUUGUGUUUCAUAAGCUAAUGCGGAAACAUCAAAGGAGAUGGCAACAUCAUGUUUGGUUUCAUGAUGCAGUGGAAAGCUAUCACUGUGCAGAGAUUCUCAGUAUGUUUUUGAUCAUUGAAACAGUUGUUUUGGAAAUGAGAAGUUGUAGAAAUGAUCCCUGUUACUUCUCUCCUUCACAGAUCCCUGCUGUCAUAAGUCCUUACAUGCACGACAGAGAAAGUGGUAGCAAGUUAGAGCAGGACAGUGACCUGGAAGCCUUCAGAACAAGAAGAAUGAAAACAGCUACACACACAUCAAAAAGUCCUGAAGAAGAAGAGAAAAAGCACAGCCCUCCCUCUUAAAAAAAAAGAAACAAAAAAAACACACACACACAUACAGACAAAACCCUCUCUGGCGAGCCUGUUCAAGGGUGAAAAGUUGGACAGAAGAGAAAGGUCUUUUGCUGAUAGAGGGACAGGAGAGAAGGGGCCAACCUACAGCUUCCUGUGAAAGUUAUCUCUUGAGGCCUCACUGCACAUUGUCUGUGAGCAUUGUGAAAGUAGAGAACUGCUCCCCCCAAAGCUCUUAAAACCUGAAGAGGUUCAUAGGGGGAAGGAGGUAAAGGUAAAGGUUCCCCUUGACAUAUUUUGUCCAGUCGUGUCUGACUCUAGGGGGCGGUGCUCAUCCCGUUCUUCAAGCCGUAGAGUCAGUGCUUGUCCAGAGGGGGCGUCCGUUGUCACGUGGCCAGCGUGACUAAAGAACACCAUUUUACCUUCCCACCGAGGUGGUACCUAUUUAUCUACUCGCAUUUGCGUGCUUUCGAACUGCUAGGUUGGCAAGGAGCUGGGACAAAGUGACGGGAGCUUACUCCAUUGCGUGGAUUCGAUCUUACGACUGCUGGUCUUCUGACCCUGCAGCACAGGCUUCUGCGGUUUAGCCCACAGUGCCACGACAUCCCUAGGGGGAAGGAACAAUUCUUCAAAUAACCUGGUCCCAAGUUGUGCAUUGUGUGACCAGCUGUGAUAAACCUGGGACAAAUGGAUUGUGUUAUUCUACAAUAGCAGUGCUCUUGUUAUCCAUAUCUGUGGUUUUGAACUGAAAGGAAAGUGAUAAGACACAAUUAAAUCUGUUAAAAUGCUUCUAAUUGGACAGGAUAGAUAUAAAAGAGAUUUGAAUCUGUUGAAUGACUAAAAAUCACCAAGAUUCAUGUUUCUAAAUUACAGAAUGAUGUAUAGAUAAUAACCGUAUGCUAUAUAAGCCUAAAUGUGUGUUCUCCAUUUGCUAUUUUACAUACAAAUAUAGUGGAGCAUUAAAUUACAACACAUUCUGAGAGUUUUCUUUUAUUUCAGCCAUAAAUAAUCU
This 1507-nucleotide long non-coding RNA is filed under the name Pogona vitticeps (central bearded dragon). RNAcentral describes it as "lncRNA (ENSPVIG00000023832.1)". Lineage: Eukaryota; Metazoa; Chordata; Lepidosauria; Squamata; Agamidae. The record is from RNAcentral.